UGACAUGAGGAUCUGAGGACCUCCGAUU
This 28-nucleotide non-coding RNA is filed under the name Mus musculus (house mouse). The record is from RNAcentral. Lineage: Eukaryota; Metazoa; Chordata; Mammalia; Rodentia; Muridae.